RNAcentral lists this ribosomal RNA (466 nucleotides) under uncultured Syntrophorhabdus sp. RNAcentral's name for it is "bacterial SSU rRNA". It matches the Rfam family "Bacterial small subunit ribosomal RNA", at positions 338 to 795 of the family's 1533-position model. Lineage: Bacteria; Pseudomonadati; Thermodesulfobacteriota; Syntrophorhabdia; Syntrophorhabdales; Syntrophorhabdaceae. The record is from RNAcentral.
CCUACGGGAGGCUGCAGUGGGGAAUAUUGGGCAAUGGGCGAAAGCCUGACCCAGCGACGCCGCGUGGGUGAUGAAGGCCUUCGGGUUGUAAAGCCCUUUCGUGCGGAAAGAACAGCCCUGUAGUUAAUACCUGCAGGGUUUGACGGUACCGCAGGAAGAAGCACCGGCUAACUCCGUGCCAGCAGCCGCGGUAAUACGGAGGGUGCAAGCGUUGUUCGGAAUUAUUGGGCGUAAAGGGCGCGUAGGUGGUUGUGAUAGUCAGAUGUGAAAUCCUUUGGCUUAACUGAAGAACUGCAUCUGAAACUUCAUAACUCGAGUACAGGAGAGGGAAACGGAAUUCCCGGUGUAGAGGUGAAAUUCGUAGAUAUCGGGAGGAACACCAGUGGCGAAGGCGGUUUCCUGGCCUGAUACUGACACUGAGGCGCGAAAGCGUGGGGAGCAAACAGGAUUAGAUACCCUUGUAGUC